GUUAUAUGGUCAAGCGAAUAAGCGCACACGGUGGAUGCCUUGGCGGUCAGAGGCGAUGAAGGACGUGGCAGCCUGCGAAAAGUAUCGGGGAGCUGGCAACAAGCUUUGAUCCGGUAAUGUCCGAAUGGGGAAACCCACCCGCUUGCGGGUAUCCUGCAGUGAAUACAUAGCUGCUGGAAGCGAACCUGGUGAACUGAAAUAUCUAAGUAACCAGAGGAAAAGAAAUCAACCGAGAUUCCCUGAGUAGCGACGAGCGAACGGGGACUAGCCCUUAAGCUGGAAUGGUUCUAGAAAAACAGCCUGGAACGGCUGGCCAUAGAAGGUGAUAGCCCUGUAUUUAAAAGGGCCACUCCAGUGAAGACGAGUAGGGCGGGGCACGUGAAACCCUGUCUGAACAUGGGGGGACCAUCCUCCAAGGCUAAAUACUACUGACCGACCGAUAGUGAACCAGUACCGUGAGGGAAAGGCGAAAAGAACCCCGGAGAGGGGAGUGAAAUAGAUCCUGAAACCGUGUGCGUACAAGCAGUAGGAGCUCGAAAGAGUGACUGCGUACCUUUUGUAUAAUGGGUCAGCGACUUACUGUUCGUGGCAAGCUUAACCGUAUAGGGGAGGCGAAGGGAAACCGAGUCUGAUAAGGGCGCAUAGUCGCGGGCAGUAGACCCGAAACCGGGUGAUCUAGUCAUGGCCAGGGUGAAGGUGCCGUAACAGGUACUGGAGGCCCGAACCCACGUCUGUUGCAAAAGACGGGGAUGAGCUGUGAUUAGGAGUGAAAAGCUAAUCGAACCCGGAGAUAGCUGGUUCUCCUCGAAAGCUAUUUAGGUAGCGCCUCAUAUGUAUCCUCUCGGGGGUAGAGCACUGUUAUGGCUAGGGGGUCAUCGCGACUUACCAAACCAUUGCAAACUCCGAAUACCGAGACGGACUGUAUGGGAGACACACGGCGGGUGCUAACGUCCGUCGUGAAAAGGGAAACAACCCAGACCCACAGCUAAGGUCCCAAAUUCACUGCUAAGUGGAAAACCAUGUGGAAAGGCACAGACAGCCAGGAGGUUGGCUUAGAAGCAGCCACCCUUUAAAGAAAGCGUAAUAGCUCACUGGUCGAGUCGGUCUGCGGGGAAGAUUUAACGGGGCUAAGCAGUGAACCGAAGCUUGGGGUGUGCAUAUUUAUAUGUACGCGGUAGAGGAGCGUUCCGUAAGCCGUUGAAGGUGGAUUGAGAAGUCUGCUGGAGGUAUCGGAAGUGCGAAUGCUGACAUGAGUAACGAUAAUGCGGGUGAAAAACCCGCACGCCGAAAGCCCAAGGUUUCCUUGCGCAACGUUAAUCGGCGCAGGGUGAGUCGGCCCCUAAGGCGAGGACGAAAGUCGUAGUCGAUGGGAAGCAGGUUAAUAUUCCUGCACCUCGCGUAAGUGCGAUGGAGGGACGGAGAAGGUUAGGUGUACCCGGCGUUGGUUGUCCGGGGGAAAGGAGGUAGGUUUGAAUCUUUGGCAAAUCCGGGAUUCUUCAAGACCGAGCACCGAGACGAGCCUUUAAGGCGAAGUCACUGAUACCACGCUUCCAGGAAAAGCUCCUAAGCUUCAGCUUACGCAGACCGUACCGUAAACCGACACAGGUGGGUAGGAUGAGAAUUCUCAGGCGCUUGAGAGAACUCGGGUGAAGGAACUAGGCAACAUGGCACCGUAACUUCGGGAGAAGGUGCGCCCUUUUUGGUGGCUCAUGCGAGCUAUAGCUGAAGAGGGCCGCAGAAACCAGGCCGCUGCGACUGUUUAUCAAAAACACAGCACUCUGCAAACACGAAAGUGGACGUAUAGGGUGUGACGCCUGCCCGGUGCUGGAAGGUUAAUUGAUGGGGUCAGCCGCAAGGCGAAGCUCUUGAUCGAAGCCCCAGUAAACGGCGGCCGUAACUAUAACGGUCCUAAGGUAGCGAAAUUCCUUGUCGGGUAAGUUCCGACCUGCACGAAUGGCGUAACGACAGCGGCGCUGUCUCCACCCGAGACUCAGUGAAAUUGAAAUCGCUGUGAAGAUGCAGCGUUCCCGUGGCAAGACGGAAAGACCCCGUGAACCUUUACUAUAGCUUUACACUGAACGUUGAGUUCGUCUGUGUAGGAUAGGUGGGAGGCUAUGAAACCAUGGCGCUAGCUGUGGUGGAGCCAUCCUUGAAAUACCACCCUGUCGUGCUUGACGUUCUAACCUGGGUCCAUAAUCUGGAUCGGGGACCGUGUAUGGUGGGUAGUUUGACUGGGGCGGUCUCCUCCUAAAGAGUAACGGAGGAGCUCGAAGGUACGCUCAGCGCGGUCGGACAUCGCGCACUGUGUGCAAAGGCAUAAGCGUGCUUGACUGCAAGAUCGACGGAUCAAGCAGGUAGGAAACUAGGACUUAGUGAUCCGGUGGUUCUGUAUGGAAGGGCCAUCGCUCAACGGAUAAAAGGUACUCCGGGGAUAACAGGCUGAUACCGCCCAAGAGUUCAUAUCGACGGCGGUGUUUGGCACCUCGAUGUCGGCUCAUCACAUCCUGGGGCUGUAGUCGGUCCCAAGGGUAUGGCUGUUCGCCAUUUAAAGUGGUACGCGAGCUGGGUUCAGAACGUCGUGAGACAGUUCGGUCCCUAUCUGCCAUGGGCGUUGGAGAUUUGAGAGGGGCUGCUCCUAGUACGAGAGGACCGGAGUGGACGAACCUCUGGUGUUCCGGUUGUCACGCCAGUGGCAUUGCCGGGUAGCUAUGUUCGGAAGCGAUAACCGCUGAAAGCAUCUAAGCGGGAAGCGCGCCUCAAGAUGAGAUCUCCCGGGGCACAAGCCCCCUGAAGGAACCAUAUAGACUAUGUGGUUGAUAGGUCAGGUGUGUAAGUACAGCAAUGUAUUGAGCUAACUGAUACUAAUGAUCCGUGUGGCUUGACCAUAUAACCU
Molecule: ribosomal RNA, 2893 nt
Filed under: Stenotrophomonas sp. 364
Lineage: Bacteria; Pseudomonadati; Pseudomonadota; Gammaproteobacteria; Lysobacterales; Lysobacteraceae
Description: 23S ribosomal RNA
Rfam family: Bacterial large subunit ribosomal RNA
Source: RNAcentral